CUUUGCUGCUCUUUUUCAUCCUCUUCACCCUGUUGGGAGCCAUUGGUGCUUUGGGUGACAGAGGAAAAUUCGUUGACGAAACACCAGGGCCUAUCAUCGAACCGGGCAAAGGGUUUAAAUCCGCCAUUGGGCUGAAAGAAAAAGGUAACGUAUUUCUCUAAUCAUCUCAGUGAUCAUAUUUCUAUGGUUUGAUCACAGGCCCAGUGUUUGGAUUCACCAAAUCGAACGAGCUCUUUGUUGGUCGGCUCGCACAGUUGGGAAUUGCGUUCUCUAUAAUUGGUGAGCUUAUAACUGGCAAGGGAGCGUUGGCGCAGCUCAACAUAGAGACUGGAGUGCCUAUCACUGAGAUUGAACCCCUUUUGUUGUUCAACAUAAUCUUCUUCUUCAUUGCAGCCAUCAAUCCUGGGACGGGUAGGUUCAUUGCUGAUAAUGAAGAAGAGUGAAUGUACGGACUGAUUUUGUCACAAACAACCUUAAUUAAAU
RNAcentral lists this long non-coding RNA (483 nucleotides) under Selaginella moellendorffii. Its description in RNAcentral is "long non-coding RNA (SMOE_LNC001094)". Lineage: Eukaryota; Viridiplantae; Streptophyta; Lycopodiopsida; Selaginellales; Selaginellaceae. The record is from RNAcentral.